GGCAGCUAGCAUGGCAGGAUUCGUUUCGAAGUUUAUAUUACAUGCUUCGGAAGAAUGUUUGCAGCAUCUUCUACGUUUGCACUGCUCAGUUUGUGAUCAUGUUCACCAGUUCUUAUUCAGAGGAGAACAAAUAUGUUUGUAAUGCAUAUAUUUCUCAGUCAACCCGGGGUUUGAGGUCAUUACUCAAAGAACAUGAUGUUUC
RNAcentral lists this unclassified non-coding RNA (202 nucleotides) under Hevea brasiliensis (rubber tree). The record is from RNAcentral. Lineage: Eukaryota; Viridiplantae; Streptophyta; Magnoliopsida; Malpighiales; Euphorbiaceae.